Molecule: long non-coding RNA, 251 nt
Organism: Oncorhynchus tshawytscha (Chinook salmon)
Lineage: Eukaryota; Metazoa; Chordata; Actinopteri; Salmoniformes; Salmonidae
Exons: 2
Source: RefSeq, a predicted model, not a curated record
CUACGGAGACACAAAAAAGCACAGUCGAGUGCUCAAAACAAACCCUUGACUCAGACGUUGCAAGAGGCUUUUGCCCGCGGCACACUAUAUGGCAAAGAAUCACGAAGAUGGAAGGAGAUAAGAGCUGCCAUGUCAACUUACAUCUGCAAAGACAUGGCCCCAAUUUACACGGUCGAGAAACUGUGUGUUGGUGCUAACACUCAACCCAAGGUACCAAAUGCAAAUUGAUAUGUGACACAUUAAUGCCAAAA